AUCAUAUUUGGUAGCCAAGGAUGACUUGCCUGUUUCUUUGAGUAAAAUGGUUAUAGCAUCAUGAUUGACAAAUGAUGUACUAUAACUCUAUAAGUUAUAUCAAGUAAUGACCAUUUUACUCAUCAAAAGACAUCAGGCAGUCUCCUUGGCUAUCCUUAUAUGUUCU
RNAcentral lists this microRNA precursor (166 nucleotides) under Arabidopsis thaliana x Arabidopsis arenosa. The record is from RNAcentral. Lineage: Eukaryota; Viridiplantae; Streptophyta; Magnoliopsida; Brassicales; Brassicaceae.